AUUGAACGCUGGCGGCAUGCUUUACACAUGCAAGUCGAACGGCAGCACGGGGGCAACCCUGUGGCGAGUGGCGAACGGGUGAGUAACACAUCGGAACGUGCCCAGUUGUGGGGGAUAACCUAUCGAAAGGUAGGCUAAUACCGCAUGAGCUCGGCAAGAGGAAAGCGGGGACUCAGCGAUGGGCCUCGCGCGACUGGAGCGGCCGAUGUCCGAUUAGCAGUUGGUGGGGUAAGGCUUACCAAGGCGACGAUCGGUAGCUGGUCUGAGAGGAUGAUCAGCCACACUGGGACUGAGAC
This 296-nucleotide ribosomal RNA is filed under the name uncultured bacterium. RNAcentral describes it as "partial 16S ribosomal RNA". It matches the Rfam family "Bacterial small subunit ribosomal RNA", at positions 30 to 325 of the family's 1533-position model. The record is from RNAcentral.